Molecule: ribosomal RNA, 426 nt
Filed under: uncultured bacterium
Lineage: Bacteria
Description: bacterial SSU rRNA
Rfam family: Bacterial small subunit ribosomal RNA
Source: RNAcentral
UCGAGAAUCUUCGGCAAUGAGCGCAAGCUUGACCGAGCGACGCCGCGUGCGGGAUGAAGGCCCUCGGGUUGUAAACCGCUGUCGUAGGGGAGGAAGUCUAUUGGGGUUCUCCCCAGUAGUUGACCUAUCCUAGGAGGAAGUACGGGCUAAGUUCGUGCCAGCAGCCGCGGUAAGACGAACCGUACGAACGUUAUUCGGAAUUACUGGGCUUAAAGGGUUUGUAGGCGGCCUUGUAAGUCAGGUGUGAAAUCCCUCGGCUCAACCGAGGAAUGGCGCUUGAUACUGCAAGGCUUGAGGGAGACAGGGGUAAGCGGAACUGAUGGUGGAGCGGUGAAAUGCGUUGAUAUCAUCAGGAACACCGGUGGCGAAAGCGGCUUACUGGGUCUCUUCUGACGCUGAGGAACGAAAGCUAGGGUAGCGAACGGG